UCCCUCGUGGCGCAAUUGGCUAGCGCGUAAGUAGUCUACAAUACAAAUCCAAAUAUUCAUCAUUCUAAUGAUCUCCCAGGUUCGACUGUUAAACAGCAGAUUCAUCGAGAGGUUGGUGGUUCAAGCCCACCCGAGGGAG
RNAcentral lists this transfer RNA (139 nucleotides) under Cadophora sp. DSE1049. Its description in RNAcentral is "tRNA-Cys". Lineage: Eukaryota; Fungi; Ascomycota; Leotiomycetes; Helotiales; Ploettnerulaceae. The record is from RNAcentral.